GUCUAUGGCCAUACCACCCUGAUCCGGGAAGCUAAGUAGGGUCAGGCCUGGCCAUUACUUGGAUGGGAGACCACUUGAGAUUACAAGAUGCUGUAGUUU
This is a ribosomal RNA of Macaca nemestrina (pig-tailed macaque), 99 nucleotides long. Lineage: Eukaryota; Metazoa; Chordata; Mammalia; Primates; Cercopithecidae. The record is from Ensembl.